Molecule: ribosomal RNA, 461 nt
Filed under: uncultured bacterium
Lineage: Bacteria
Description: partial 16S ribosomal RNA
Rfam family: Bacterial small subunit ribosomal RNA
Source: RNAcentral
CCUACGGGAGGCAGCAGUGAGGAAUAUUGGUCAAUGGGCGCAAGCCUGAACCAGCCAAGUCGCGUGAGGGAUGACGGUCCUAUGGAUUGUAAACCUCUUUUGUCGGGGAGCAAGGCCCGCCACGUGUGGCGGGAAGGAGAGUACCCGAAGAAAAAGCUUCGGCUAACUCCGUGCCAGCAGCAGCGGUAAUACGGAGGAUGCGAGCGUUAUCCGGAUUUACUGGGUGGAAAGGGAGCGUAGACGGCGCUGCAAGUCCGGAGUGAAAGCCCAUGGCUUAACCAUGGUACUGCUCUGGAAACUGUGGAGCUUGAGUGCGGGAGGGGCAGGCGGAAUUCCUAGUGUAGCGGUGAAAUGCGUAGAUAUUAGGAGGAACACCGGCGGCGAAGGCGGCCUGCUGGACCGUAACUGACGUUGAGGCUCGAAAGCGUGGGGAGCAAACAGGAUUAGAUACCCCGGUAGUC